CAGCAGCCACGGUAAUACGUAGGUGGCAAGCGUUGUCCGGAAUUAUUGGGCGUAAAGGGCUCGCAGGCGGUUUCUUAAGUCUGAUGUGAAAGCCCCCGGCUCAACCGGGGAGGGUCAUUGGAAACUGGGAAACUUGAGUGCAGAAGAGGAGAGUGGAAUUCCACGUGUAGCGGCGAAAUGCGUAGAGAUGUGGAGGAACACCAGUGGCGAAGGCGACUCUCUGGUCUGUAACUGACGCUGAGGAGCGAAAGCGUGGGGAGCGAACAGGAUUAGAUACCCCGGUAGUCCCUGUCUCUUAUAC
RNAcentral lists this ribosomal RNA (301 nucleotides) under uncultured bacterium. RNAcentral's name for it is "partial 16S ribosomal RNA". It matches the Rfam family "Bacterial small subunit ribosomal RNA", at positions 509 to 807 of the family's 1533-position model. The record is from RNAcentral.